UACGUAGGUGGCAAGCGUUGUCCGGAUUUACUGGGCGUAAAGAGCGCGCAGGCGGUCGAUCAAGUCGCGUGUGAAAGCCCCCGGCUCAACUGGGGAGGGUCACGCGAUACUGAUCGACUCGAAGGCAGGAGAGGGUAGUGGAAUUCCCGGUGUAGUGGUGAAAUGCGUAGAUAUCGGGAGGAACACCAGUGGCGAAGGCGGCUUCCUGGACCGACACUGACGCUGAGGCGCGAAAGCUAGGGGAGCAAACGGG
This 253-nucleotide ribosomal RNA is filed under the name uncultured bacterium. RNAcentral's name for it is "partial 16S ribosomal RNA". It matches the Rfam family "Bacterial small subunit ribosomal RNA", at positions 524 to 776 of the family's 1533-position model. The record is from RNAcentral.